RNAcentral lists this long non-coding RNA (1403 nucleotides) under Helianthus annuus (common sunflower). The record is from RNAcentral. Lineage: Eukaryota; Viridiplantae; Streptophyta; Magnoliopsida; Asterales; Asteraceae.
AUGCUUGAACUUCUAUAUAUAUAUAUAUAUAUAUAUGAAUAUAUUUAUGCAAAUGCGUUUUGUACAAGAAUGGUCGAAAGGAUAAAUGGGUCAUACGGGUCAGAUGGCGAUCUCCAUUUGAACUCGGUAGUUAAUGUUUUGAUAUGUUAAGUUUUGUACUCAUAGGUGAGCUUGAUGAAUGGACACGCAAUGUUACUAAUCAGAAAGGAAGGAUCAUCGUAAGGUAUGGAUAACGAAUCAAUGGAAUUUACUUCCGUCAGGUAUGUAUAAAAAGAAGUGUAACUUUAAUAGAGGUUAGUACUCGACUAGAAAUGGAUGUGUCAGAAUAGAAUGUAUGUAUAUAUACAAACCGUAAUGCAAAAUGUGGAGUGAAUUUCAAAAUGUUCGUAAUGAUCAUCGGGUAGUAUUGAACUUGAAUGCUCGUAACUGUGGAAAUUCUGAUAGAAUAUAAGAGACGAUAAGUAUCCUUAAGAAAUGCUAACUUUGAUGCUCGGCUUGUUGGCCAUGUUCAUUUGAACAAGACAUUGUAGAAAAGAUACGCAUGGCAUAAAUAACAAUAAUAACCAUGGAAAUAAUGCUUAGUCUUCGUGAUUUAAGUAUGGAUAAGUAAGUUUAAGAAAGGAUGUUGGUAACGGGAUGAUAAGGUUUGCUCGUGGUGAACAUAAUGAAAUAAUGUAUAUGAUAUAAUGAUAGAAUGAAACAAAUCAUAGAAAGUGAAAACGACACUAAUAAGAGCUCUGGAUCAGAUUAUGAGUUUUAUGUGAUUAUGAAAAUAAAUUACAUAAUUUAAGAACGUAAGGACAAUGCGUACAAUCAUGUUUAGGUAUGAAACAAACUUUUGACCAAGAUCCCGAAUGUAUUCAUGUUGUAAUAAGCAUCGUGAAUGAAUAGAUGGAAAGGUAAGAGUAGUAUUGGGCUACUAAGAAUAAGAAAGGUUUCGGGGACGAAACCUUCUUUAAGGGGGGUAGACUUGUAACACGCCAAAUUUCGUAAGAUAUAUUACAAUGUUUUAAUCGCAAUAUUUGACUUUCAGAAAUGAUAAACAUAGAUUUCUACUAUUAUUAAAGUUUUAUAAACUAUGGAAAGUUUAAAGCAUAUGUGCACAUAAAGUUAACCAAGUUAGUAUGUGAAAUGAAAUAAGUGGCAUGUUUUAAAAGAUAGAGGGGUUAAAAUGGAAAUAUGCUAUAAAUAAACACUUGACAAAAAAAAAUUAGUCAGUGUUUGGUCUGGGCGUGCGAACGAGGAGAAGGAACCAAGGGAACCAAAACCCUAAACAACCUAAAAUCAUCAAAUUGAAAGGGGAAUCGAGGGCUGAUCGAAUGCAUGAGUCUAGAUACCCUUUAAUUUAAGUGUAUUGAUCAUAAGGAACGUGUCAAGGAGAGCUCAAGCAUAGGAGGAUAACG